RNAcentral lists this non-coding RNA (148 nucleotides) under Homo sapiens (human). Lineage: Eukaryota; Metazoa; Chordata; Mammalia; Primates; Hominidae. The record is from Rfam by way of RNAcentral.
GCCGGGAGUGGUGGCGCACGCCUGUAACCCCAGCUACUCGGGAGGUUGAGACAGGAGAAUUGCUUGAGCCUGGGAGGCGGAGGUUGCAGUGAGCUGAGAUCAUGCCACUGCACUCCAGCCUGGGCGACAGAGUGAGAUCUUGUCUCUA